RNAcentral lists this ribosomal RNA (483 nucleotides) under uncultured bacterium. RNAcentral describes it as "partial 16S ribosomal RNA". It matches the Rfam family "Bacterial small subunit ribosomal RNA", at positions 28 to 523 of the family's 1533-position model. The record is from RNAcentral.
GACGAACGCUGGCGGCGCGCUUAAUACAUGCAAGUCGAACGAGAAUCAUUGGUGCUUGCACCAAUGAAGACAGUGGCGAACGGGUGAGUAACACGUGAGAAACCUGCCCCAAAGACUGGGAUAAGCCGAGGAAACUUGGUCUAAUACCGGAUACCUUCUAACUAUCACAUGUUAGAUAGAAGAAAUGCUCCGGCGCUUUGGGAUGGUCUCGCGACCUAUCAGCUUGUUGGUGAGGUAAAAGCUCACCAAGGCAACGACGGGUAGCUGGUCUGGGAGGAAGGCCAGCCACACUGGAGCUGAGACACGGUCCAGACUCCUACGGGAGGCAGCAGUAGGGAAUCGUGCACAAUGAGGGAAACCUUGAUGCAGCGACGCCGCGUGCGGGAAGAAGGCCCUAGGGUUGUAAACCGCUUUCAGCAGGGACGAAAGUGACGGUACCUGCAGAAGAAGCCCCGGCCAAAUAUGUGCCAGCCGCCGCGGUAA